AUGCAGUUCGAGAUCGAGACCGACACGUCGGACAAAGGCAUUGGCGCCGUGUUGCGCCAGGGCAAGCACCCCGUUGCUUUUCUCAGCAAGGCACUUGGCCCCAAGAACAGGGCGCUGUCCACAUACGAAAAAGAGGGGCUAGCUAUCCUGAUGGCUGUGGACCAUUGGCGCACCUACCUCCAGCAUGAUGAAUUCAUCAUCCACACGGACCAGCGUAGUCUGGUGCACCUGGAGGACCAGCGUCUGGCCACUCCCUGGCAACAAAAGAUCAUGGCCAAGCUGUUGGGACUCAGGUACCGAAUUGUGUACAAGAGAGGUGUGGACAACAGAGUGGAGGACGCCUUGUCGAGGCGCCUAGGGCCGCUCCAAGGCGAUCUGGCAGCAGUGACAGUGGUGGUGCCUGCUUGGCUGGAAACGGUUCAACAAGGCUACACCAAAGACGAGGCUGCCCAGAAAUUGCUGGCACGUUCGGCAACUAAACCAGAGGGGCAUGACGGCUUCACCCUGUAG
This 510-nucleotide ribosomal RNA is filed under the name Triticum aestivum (bread wheat). Its description in RNAcentral is "partial small subunit ribosomal RNA". The record is from RNAcentral. Lineage: Eukaryota; Viridiplantae; Streptophyta; Magnoliopsida; Poales; Poaceae.